AACGAACGCUGGCGGCAUGCCUAACACAUGCAAGUCGAACGAGACCUUCGGGUCUAGUGGCGCACGGGUGCGUAACGCGUGGGAACCUGCCCUUAGGUUCGGAAUAACUCCCCGAAAGGGGUGCUAAUACCGGAUAAUGUCUUCGGACCAAAGAUUUAUCGCCUUUGGAUGGGCCCGCGUUGGAUUAGCUAGUUGGUAGGGUAAAAGCCUACCAAGGCGACGAUCCAUAGCUGGUCUGAGAGGAUGAUCAGCCACACUGGGACUGAGACACGGCCCAGACCCCUGGGGGAGGGAGGAGGGGGGAAAUUGGGACAAGGGGGGAAAGCCGAACCCAGCAAGGCCGGGUGAGUGAUGAAGGCUUUGGGGUUGUAAAGCUCUUUUACCCGGGAUGAAAAUAACGGUCCCGGGAAAAAAAGCCCCGGCUAACUCCGU
RNAcentral lists this ribosomal RNA (432 nucleotides) under uncultured bacterium. RNAcentral describes it as "partial 16S ribosomal RNA". It matches the Rfam family "Bacterial small subunit ribosomal RNA", at positions 29 to 506 of the family's 1533-position model. The record is from RNAcentral.